UAGGGAAUCUUCGGCAAUGGACGAAAGUCUGACCGAGCAACGCCGCGUGAGUGAAGAAGGUUUUCGGAUCGUAAAACUCUGUUGUUAGAGAAGAACAAGGACGUUAGUAACUGAACGUCCCCUGACGGUAUCUAACCAGAAAGCCACUGCUAACUACGUGCCAGCAGCCGCGGUAAUACGUAGGUGGCAAGCGUUGUCCGGAUUUAUUGGGCGUAAAGCGAGCGCAGGCGGUUUCUUAAGUCUGAUGUGAAAGCCCCCGGCUCAACCGGGGAGGGUCAUUGGAAACUGGGAGACUUGACUGCAGAAGAGGAGAGUGGAAUUCCAUGUGUAGCGGUGAAAUGCGUAGAUAUAUGGAGGAACACCAGUGGCGAAGGCGGCUCUCUGGUCUGAAACUGACGCUGAGGCUCGAAAGCGUGGGGAGCAAACAGG
Molecule: ribosomal RNA, 429 nt
Filed under: Gemmatimonadota bacterium
Lineage: Bacteria; Pseudomonadati; Gemmatimonadota
Description: Gemmatimonadetes bacterium partial 16S ribosomal RNA
Rfam family: Bacterial small subunit ribosomal RNA
Source: RNAcentral